RNAcentral lists this transfer RNA (71 nucleotides) under Loxodonta africana (African savanna elephant). It matches the Rfam family "tRNA". From Rfam's summary of the family: Transfer RNA (tRNA) molecules are approximately 80 nucleotides in length. Their secondary structure includes four short double-helical elements and three loops (D, anti-codon, and T loops). Lineage: Eukaryota; Metazoa; Chordata; Mammalia; Proboscidea; Elephantidae. The record is from Rfam by way of RNAcentral.
GCAUUGGUGGUUCAGUGGUAGAAUUCCUGAUUUCCAUGUUAGAGACUGGGGUUCAGUUCCUGGCCAAUGCA